UAUCAAAAUGUGGCACAAAACGGCACUGAAGAUAAGUGAGGCACGCAGUAGCAGUGCCUCACCAGAGAGGGCGCUUGUGGGCUCGCCUUUGUUUUUAAUUUGUUACUAAUAAAGUUUAUUUAAAUAAGAGCCAGUAUGACUGCAAAAUGGCGGAUGUAAUCCCGCCAAAAAUGAUUCGAAGUUGGACUUUCAUUCAAAACAUGAAGAAGUAAUUCAUAAAAGCUGAACCAACACAUCUUUAUUGAAGACCAAGAGACUUCCAAAACUAAAAGAAGAGGACUUUUAAGCUAAAGUCGCGGAGAUACAGUAUUUGUCCCGAAUUAGAUGGACUUCAUUUACAGUGACAAGAAAGGCUCCCAGGACAAAGCUCGAGCGGACCCACCUGCACCCCCAUCUGACCAUAGGAGACCUGUUCCAGAGCAACCCUCAUCCCUGCUGGUGAUUCACCACUGCAGGAAUGCAAGCGAGGCCAACCGAGUGAAAUCUGGCGUGGGCCCAGCUCCAAGUCUGAGGCGGUGAUUGCAUCUGAACAUCUCCAUCAGAGAACGCUAGAAGGCGGGGGCGAGACAAGGGCGCGCAGGAUGGCGUACCUGUGCCCUUUCGCAGAUGCCAGGCUGGGACCGGCUCCGAGGAGACGAGAGGUGAGAGGAUCAGUGCCGGAGCUGCUGGCCUUCACAACAUCAAUCAGGAUGGAGCUGAUUCAUUAAAGAGGAUAUAGGUGGGAAGCAGCCCGAGCAGGAAACGCCUCAGGGGUUGUUUUUGGCUUUAAGUUGAAUCGAUUUUACCACAAAUUUUAUCAAUAAAAAAUACAAAGGUCAUAAAACCA
Molecule: long non-coding RNA, 826 nt
Organism: Oryzias melastigma (Indian medaka)
Lineage: Eukaryota; Metazoa; Chordata; Actinopteri; Beloniformes; Adrianichthyidae
Exons: 4
Source: RefSeq, a predicted model, not a curated record